This 356-nucleotide transfer-messenger RNA is filed under the name bacterium. Its description in RNAcentral is "HRBIN37 sp002898375 Standard tmRNA". It matches the Rfam family "transfer-messenger RNA". From Rfam's summary of the family: Bacterial tmRNA, also known as 10Sa RNA or SsrA, is named for its dual tRNA and mRNA-like properties. Its role is to liberate the mRNA from a stalled ribosome. To accomplish this part of the tmRNA is used as a reading frame that ends in a translation stop signal. RNAcentral also lists the same sequence under 1 other name. The record is from RNAcentral.
GGGGGCGAAGAGGAUUCGACGGGGAACGGGAUAGCUCAAGCUGCAUGCCGAGUUUCUGCUAACUCGUAAAACUGGCAGAGCACAUAGAAGUGCCGAACCAAUCAAUGCACUCGCUGCUUAAUUAAAGCAGCGACGUCUCUAAAAACCUCGCCCGUUGGGUUUUUACGAGGCGUCAGCUAGACGGGCUGGUCUUCAGGUGGUGCUUGGGACACCUGGGACGAGACUUGCUCCCAAGCUGGCAGUGAAAAUCCUGUCCAUCGGAGUUUUCACUGCGAGAUCUAAAAGAUGGACUAAGCAUGUAGAGGCUGGGUAAAGCCCUUCUCCGGACCUGGGUUCGAUUCCCAGCGCCUCCACCA